GGAGAGGUACCGAAGCGGUCAUAACGGCGCCGACUCGAAAUCGGAUGGGGCGAAAGCCCACGAGGGUUCGAAUCCUCCUCUCCGCCA
RNAcentral lists this transfer RNA (87 nucleotides) under Coxiellaceae bacterium. RNAcentral's name for it is "tRNA-Ser". It matches the Rfam family "tRNA". From Rfam's summary of the family: Transfer RNA (tRNA) molecules are approximately 80 nucleotides in length. Their secondary structure includes four short double-helical elements and three loops (D, anti-codon, and T loops). Further hydrogen bonds mediate the characteristic L-shaped molecular structure. tRNAs have two regions of fundamental functional importance: the anti-codon, which is responsible for specific mRNA codon recognition, and the 3' end, to which the tRNAs corresponding amino acid is attached (by aminoacyl-tRNA synthetases). tRNAs cope with the degeneracy of the genetic code in two manners: having more than one tRNA (with a specific anti-codon) for a particular amino acid; and 'wobble' base-pairing, i.e. permitting non-standard base-pairing at the 3rd anti-codon position. The record is from RNAcentral. Lineage: Bacteria; Pseudomonadati; Pseudomonadota; Gammaproteobacteria; Legionellales; Coxiellaceae.